Drosophila albomicans is the source of this 592-nucleotide long non-coding RNA. RefSeq lists it as uncharacterized. The transcript is spliced from 6 exons. NCBI's taxonomy places the organism in Eukaryota, Metazoa, Arthropoda, Insecta, Diptera, Drosophilidae. The record is from RefSeq and is a predicted model, not a curated record.
CUGGUUCACAGGGAGUAGUAGUUGGUUUCUCUGGUUCGCAGGGAGUAGUUGGCUUCACUGGUUCACAUGGAGUAGUUGUUUUCUCUGGUUCACAAGGAGUAGUAGUUGGUUUCUCUGGUUCGCAAGGAGUGGUGGUAGUUGUUUUCUCUGGUUCACAGGGAGUAGUAGUUGGUUUCUCUGGUUCGCAGGGAGUAGUUGGCUUCACUGGUUCACAUGGAGUAGUUGUUUUCUCUGGUUCACAAGGAGUAGUAGUUGGUUUCUCUGGUUCGCAAGGAGGAGUAGUUGGUUUCUCUGGUUCACAAGGAGUAGUAGUUGAUUUCUCUGGUUCACAGGGAGGAGUAGUUGUUUUCUCUGGUUCACAAGGAGUAGUAGUUGGUUUCUCUGGUUCGCAAGGAGUGGUGGUAGUUGUUUUCUCUGGUUCACAGGGAGUAGUAGUUGGUUUCUCUGGUUCACAGGGAGUAGUUGGUUUCUCUGGUUCACAAGGAGGAGUAGUUGGUUUCUCUGGUUCGCAAGGAGAGGUGGUAGUUGUUUUCUCUGGUUCACAGGGAGUAGUUGAUUUCCCUGGUUCACAAGGAGUAGUUGGUUUCUCUGG